RNAcentral lists this ribosomal RNA (497 nucleotides) under uncultured bacterium. RNAcentral's name for it is "partial 16S ribosomal RNA". It matches the Rfam family "Bacterial small subunit ribosomal RNA", at positions 28 to 507 of the family's 1533-position model. The record is from RNAcentral.
GAUGAACGCUGGCGGCGUGCCUAAUACAUGCAAGUCGAGCGAACAGAUGAGGAGCUUGCUCCUCUGACGUUAGCGGCGGACGGGUGAGUAACACGUGGAUAACCUACCUAUAAGACUGGGAUAACUUCGGGAAACCGGAGCUAAUACCGGAUAAUAUAUUGAACCGCAUGGUUCAAUAGUGAAAGACGGUUUUGCUGUCACUUAUAGAUGGAUCCGCGCCGCAUUAGCUAGUUGGUAAGGUAACGGCUUACCAAGGCAACGAUGCGUAGCCGACCUGAGAGGGGGAGCGGCCACGGGGGAACGGAGACGGGGUCCAGACUCCAGGGGGAGGGGGCGGGGGGGAAUCUUGGGAAGGGGGCGAAGGCGGGAGGGGGCAGGGCGGGGGGGGGGAAGAGGGUUUUGGGAUCGUAAAACUUUUUUUGGGGGGAAGAACAAAGGUGAAGGUAAGAAGGCCGGUUUGGAGGGUACCUAAUAAGAAGGCCACGGCAAACUACGGG